UAGCAGAAGUUUCUGGUUUCACCACCRUGCCUCUUAAAAGCUUAAAACUAAAAAAUAACGACGUGGAGUGAAAUGUCCAGAUAAAACUGAAACUGUCACGGACCAGUUGAUGGAUGAAGUUUAUUGAGUCAUGAAGACAACAACCCAAUGACUGAAAAACAAAUUUAACGAGCAGUGACAUGUUGGGUAAAGUGAGUUAAAGCAUAGCAAGGACCAUACAAACUGCAGGAAAAAAACAUCCCCCCAUGCUGCUCAAUGUGUGAGCAUGUGUGCAGGUCUGCUCUGAGGGACAGAGGUAAAGUGAAACAACAUGUUUGCUUCCCAGAACGCGAAGACACAGCACCUCUUUAGAAGAAGCGCAUGAGUUAUGAAUGAGACAACCCCAGAUUCCCCAAAAAACAAAUGAGGGAAGUAAACACAAUGGAGCCCCCACCAGCACAGUUGGAAAACUUUCCCACAGAUGGAAACUGGCUUUGAACCUUCUUUUUUUUUUUUUUUUUUCCCCUUUUUCGGUUUUAUGAACAAGUUUAGGCUAAAGGCAUGCCCCUUUAUAGAAACACACUGAGAACAGACUUUGCGUUUUUCCCUUCCUUCAUUUACUGAUCCAAUGAAAAACUGAAUGCGGGCACGCAGUGAAUGGUUGACUCAUGUGUCAGCACAGCAGAAGUCUUGCAAGCAAGGCAGACACUUCAACAAAAGAUCCUAGAUAACRUUACUGAAGCUUGAUCCAUUCAUUUUCUCACACCCUUGCCCCUAGUGGGGUCGGGAGGGGUGCUGGUGCCCAUCUCCAGCGAGACAUUUUGGGUGUCCCUGGACAGGACAAACAACCCUGCACGCACACAUUCACACCAAUUAAGUGAGAGAGACCAUUUAACCUUAACAGUCAUGUUUUUGGACUGUGGGAGGAAGCUGGAGAGAACCCACGCAUGCACAGGGAAAACAUGCGAACUGACCCCGCAGAAAGACCCUGGGGCUGGGAAUCGAACCCAGGACCUUCUUGUUGCAAGGCAACAGUGCUACCAACUGUGCCACCGUGCAGCCCCUGAAGCUUGAUAUAGGCCGUUAUUACGGUAGAUAAAUAAGAGUGACAACAUGGUCCACUGUGGAGGGUAUGUUUUCUGCUAAUGCUAAACUGUAAUUAUAAUAAAGUCAA
Molecule: long non-coding RNA, 1153 nt
Organism: Poecilia reticulata (guppy)
Lineage: Eukaryota; Metazoa; Chordata; Actinopteri; Cyprinodontiformes; Poeciliidae
Source: RefSeq, a predicted model, not a curated record